CAAACGACUCUCGGCAACGGAUAUCUCGGCUCACGCAUCGAUGAAGAACGUAGCAAAAUGCGAUACUUGGUGUGAAUUGCAGAAUCCCGUGAACCAUCGAGUUUUUGAACGCAAGUUGCGCCCGAAGCCAUUUGGCCGAGGGCACGUCUGCCUGGGCGUCACAC
This 164-nucleotide ribosomal RNA is filed under the name Senecio hollandii. RNAcentral's name for it is "5.8S ribosomal RNA". It matches the Rfam family "5.8S ribosomal RNA". Rfam says of the family: 5.8S ribosomal RNA (5.8S rRNA) is a component of the large subunit of the eukaryotic ribosome. The record is from RNAcentral. RNAcentral also lists the same sequence under 1 other name. Lineage: Eukaryota; Viridiplantae; Streptophyta; Magnoliopsida; Asterales; Asteraceae.